Molecule: transfer RNA, 96 nt
Filed under: Aeromonas salmonicida
Lineage: Bacteria; Pseudomonadati; Pseudomonadota; Gammaproteobacteria; Aeromonadales; Aeromonadaceae
Description: tRNA-???(cc)
Source: RNAcentral
UGAGCUCCUGGCCGGGUUUGAGCAGGCGCAGGGUAUCCGUGCCCUCGAGCUGAUCGAUCAGGUGCAGAUCCGUGGUGCUGAGGCCAAGGCGCUGGA